Long non-coding RNA from Myotis brandtii (Brandt's bat), 122 nucleotides. RefSeq lists it as uncharacterized. The record is from RefSeq and is a predicted model, not a curated record. The transcript is spliced from 3 exons. Lineage: Eukaryota; Metazoa; Chordata; Mammalia; Chiroptera; Vespertilionidae.
UCCUUUUUCUCCGCAUCCUCGCCAGCACUUGUUGCUUGUUGAUUUGUUGAUGAUAGCCAUUCUGACAGGGGGGAGAUGAUACCACAUUGUUGUUUUAAUUUGCAUUUAUCUUAUGACUAGUG